RNAcentral lists this ribosomal RNA (315 nucleotides) under uncultured eukaryote. RNAcentral's name for it is "partial 18S ribosomal RNA". It matches the Rfam family "Eukaryotic small subunit ribosomal RNA", at positions 1470 to 1796 of the family's 1831-position model. The record is from RNAcentral.
CCCUUAGAUGUUCUGGGCCGCACGCGCGCUACACUGACUGGUGCAACAAGUGUCGCUCCUUGGCCGAUAGGCCUGGGCAAUCUUUGAACGCCAGUCGUGAUGGGGAUAGACUUUUGCAAUUUUUGGUCUUCAACGAGGAAUUCCUAGUAAACGCAAGUCAUCAACUUGCAUUGAUUACGUCCCUGCCCUUUGUACACACCGCCCGUCGCACCUACCGAUUGAAUGGUCCGGUGAAGCCUCCGGAUUGGCGCGCACCUCGGUGCCGCCGAGAAGUUGGCUAAACCUUACCAUUUAGAGGAAGGUGAAGUCGUAACA